RNAcentral lists this ribosomal RNA (485 nucleotides) under uncultured bacterium. RNAcentral's name for it is "bacterial SSU rRNA". It matches the Rfam family "Bacterial small subunit ribosomal RNA", at positions 29 to 507 of the family's 1533-position model. The record is from RNAcentral.
AUUGAACGCUGGCGGCAUGCUUUACACAUGCAAGUCGAACGGUAACAGGGAGCUUGCUCCGCUGACGAGUGGCGAACGGGUGAGUAAUGCAUCGGAACGUACCCAGUCGUGGGGGAUAACGUAAGCGAAAGUUACGCUAAUACCGCAUACGUCCUGAGGGAGAAAGCGGGGGACCGUAAGGCCUCGCGCGAUUGGAGCGGCCGAUGUCGGAUUAGCUAGUUGGUAGGGUAAAGGCCUACCAAGGCGACGAUCCGUAGCGGGUCUGAGAGGAUGAUCCGCCACACUGGGACUGAGACACGGCCCAGACUCCUACGGGAGGCAGCAGUGGGGAAUUUUGGACAAUGGGCGAAAGCCUGAUCCAGCCAUGCCGCGUGAGUGAAGAAGGCCUUCGGGUUGUAAAGCUCUUUCAGCCGGAAAGAAAUCGCGCAGGAUAAUACUCUGCGUGGAUGACGGUACCGGAAGAAGAAGCACCGGCUAACUACGUG